This 680-nucleotide ribosomal RNA is filed under the name Micromonospora tulbaghiae. RNAcentral describes it as "bacterial SSU rRNA". It matches the Rfam family "Bacterial small subunit ribosomal RNA", at positions 98 to 793 of the family's 1533-position model. The record is from RNAcentral. Lineage: Bacteria; Bacillati; Actinomycetota; Actinomycetes; Micromonosporales; Micromonosporaceae.
GCGAACGGGUGAGUAACACGUGAGCAACCUGCCCUAGGCUUUGGGAUAACCCCGGGAAACCGGGGCUAAUACCGAAUAGGACCUGACACCGCAUGGUGUUUGGUGGAAAGUUUUUCGGCCUGGGAUGGGCUCGCGGCCUAUCAGCUUGUUGGUGGGGUGAUGGCCUACCAAGGCGACGACGGGUAGCCGGCCUGAGAGGGCGACCGGCCACACUGGGACUGAGACACGGCCCAGACUCCUACGGGAGGCAGCAGUGGGGAAUAUUGCACAAUGGGCGGAAGCCUGAUGCAGCGACGCCGCGUGAGGGAUGACGGCCUUCGGGUUGUAAACCUCUUUCAGCAGGGACGAAGCGUAAGUGACGGUACCUGCAGAAGAAGCGCCGGCCAACUACGUGCCAGCAGCCGCGGUAAGACGUAGGGCGCGAGCGUUGUCCGGAUUUAUUGGGCGUAAAGAGCUCGUAGGCGGCUUGUCGCGUCGACUGUGAAAACCCGCAGCUCAACUGCGGGCCUGCAGUCGAUACGGGCAGGCUAGAGUUCGGUAGGGGAGACUGGAAUUCCUGGUGUAGCGGUGAAAUGCGCAGAUAUCAGGAGGAACACCGGUGGCGAAGGCGGGUCUCUGGGCCGAUACUGACGCUGAGGAGCGAAAGCGUGGGGAGCGAACAGGAUUAGAUACCCUGGUAG